RNAcentral lists this small RNA (263 nucleotides) under Saimiri boliviensis boliviensis (Bolivian squirrel monkey). RNAcentral describes it as "7SK RNA (ENSSBOG00000000991.1)". It matches the Rfam family "7SK RNA", at positions 1 to 251 of the family's 331-position model. Rfam says of the family: 7SK was discovered as an abundant small nuclear RNA in the mid-70s but a possible function has only recently been suggested. Two independent studies have found that 7SK RNA binds the CDK9/cyclin T complex (known as elongation factor P-TEFb). The record is from RNAcentral. Lineage: Eukaryota; Metazoa; Chordata; Mammalia; Primates; Cebidae.
GGAUGGGAGGGUGAGCUGGCUGUGACACAUGUCACUCCGGUGUUGCCAGGGUUGAUUCGGCUGAUCUGGCUGGCUAGGCAGGUGUUCCCUUCCUGCCCCAUCACUUCUUGUAUACCCUCCUCAAGCUGCAUGCUUGGUCAAAGCGGACAACCAUCCCUGAUAGAGGAGGAUCCAUCUUCCACCAAGGGUAUACGAGUAGCUGCUCCCCUGCUAGAACCUCCAAAUAAGCUCACAAAGAGGGGGGGCUUUUAAUUUUUUUUGUU